RNAcentral lists this ribosomal RNA (484 nucleotides) under uncultured bacterium. Its description in RNAcentral is "partial 16S ribosomal RNA". It matches the Rfam family "Bacterial small subunit ribosomal RNA", at positions 30 to 507 of the family's 1533-position model. The record is from RNAcentral.
AUUGAACGCUGGCGGCAGGCCUAACACAUGCAAGUCGAGCGGAUGAAGGGAGCUUGCUCCUGGAUUCAGCGGCGGACGGGUGAGUAAUGCCUAGGAAUCUGCCUGGUAGUGGGGGAUAACGUCCGGAAACGGGCGCUAAUACCGCAUACGUCCUGAGGGAGAAAGUGGGGGAUCUUCGGACCUCACGCUAUCAGAUGAGCCUAGGUCGGAUUAGCUAGUUGGUGGGGUAAAGGCCUACCAAGGCGACGAUCCGUAACUGGUCUGAGAGGAUGAUCAGUCACACUGGAACUGAGACACGGUCCAGACUCCUACGGGAGGCAGCAGUGGGGAAUAUUGGACAAUGGGCUAAAGCCUGAUCCAGCCAUGCCGCGUGUGUGAAGAAGGUCUUCGGAUUGUAAAGCACUUUAAGUUGGGAGGAAGGGCAGUAAGUUAAUACCUUGCUGUUUUGACGUUACCAACAGAAUAAGCACCGGCUAACUUCGUG